Long non-coding RNA from Malus domestica (apple), 530 nucleotides. RefSeq lists it as uncharacterized. NCBI's taxonomy places the organism in Eukaryota, Viridiplantae, Streptophyta, Magnoliopsida, Rosales, Rosaceae. The record is from RefSeq and is a predicted model, not a curated record.
UGAAAACCCCUCCCACUGAGCGAGUCGCGGCCGUUGAAUCGCCAAGCCGCUGAGCCCAGCAUACCAGGCUAGCAGCCUGAGCCACUGGAGGCGAGCCAACCCACGAAGCCAGCAGCUCCACGCCCUGGAACCCAGAACCCACGAUGUCGUUUCGACAUCGUCCACCCCCAAAGCCGACGCCAUCAUCGGCGUCGCCACUGAUCUUUUGACAAAAAAGAAAAGUCAGAUGUAGAUCCUGAUGAGCAUGUGUUUGAUUUGCAUCUUCGCAAUCUAAUAUUGAAAAAGGAAGCGUAGAAAGAUUUAAAUCUUCUGGAAAUGCUCAAAGGAGAUCGUAACAAAAGCAUUGAUUGGAUGGUUGAGAUGCAAGCCAAAAGCAGACUGAAGGAUGCUACCGUAUUUCUGGCAAUAAAUACCUGGACAACUAUCUGUGUUCGAAUUUUGAUCCGGCAAUAUUUCUUUUCCCUUUUACUAUUUUGUGUAAGAAAUAUAUUGUUUUCAAAAUUUGAUUAGAUUUUUUAUUAUUUAUUUUA